GCGGUCCCAGAUUAUAACACGAUAGCUACUGGUCUUCCAUGUGUCCACCCAACUAACAGUCCGUGGGAUAUUUAUUUCUCGAAAUUUGCCGUUGAUGGUGCACAUAUACAAAUUGAUCUCUCUAUUGACCGAAUCCUACUUUCAUUUCCUGUCAUUCAAUCCCCAAAAUGGAUUACCGCAGGCACCCGCACCCUCCGCCACCCCAUCCUCCGCCUUCUGCUCCGCCGCUACCACCGCCUGACCCUUACUGGUACGGCCCGCCGCCGCCUCCACCCCCACGCCCCGACUUGUAUUAUCCUCCUCCUCCUCCCCCUCCGCACCACCACCAUCACCCACCGCCGCCGCCGCCGCCUCAUCAUCCUCCCGGUCCUCCUCCCCCACCUUAUUUUGACCCCUACAGGCCCCCGCCUCCACCAUGGCGCCGACCUCCACCGCCCUACUGAGCAGGUGUGCAGUCAGGAGUACUCGAGAGCUUUGAUCUUGCCGUGGGUGAGUUCUCCUUGCUGGUCAUGUGGCUCAAGGCUUGCUUUAUUUGACUAAUAAACAAGGAGAGAUUUGUAUUUCUAUUUUCCUUGGAAUAGCUUGAACAUAUGUACUCGUUUUACGUCUAAAUUUGCUUUGCGAUGCUAUGUAUAUGUAAGGGGUUAUUAUUAUUGUGAUAUGAAGAAGGUAUUACCGUAUGUGAUUCUCGCUAGAUUUGCCAUUAUUCAAAAAUGUUAUUGUUAUGUUCAAUUCGAUGACCAAAUUAGCAUUUUGUCACGAUUGUAUAUUCUACUAAGAGAAUGCACACCACAUGCUUCGACCUCCUCAAAAUCUGAUGUUACAUGAAGAACAAAAUUUUACGGCACUUUGUCUAAGUGUCUAGAUCCAUCUGAGCUAUUGAAUUGUGGAUGGGCCGAACUCGAGAACCGGGAUGGCAGCGUGAAAUCUUCCUAACAUUGUACAUUUAUAAGCUCAAUUGUGAUGUGAUUACCUUGCA
This 979-nucleotide long non-coding RNA is filed under the name Eucalyptus grandis. Its description in RNAcentral is "long non-coding RNA (EGRA_LNC005971)". Lineage: Eukaryota; Viridiplantae; Streptophyta; Magnoliopsida; Myrtales; Myrtaceae. The record is from RNAcentral.